This 606-nucleotide ribosomal RNA is filed under the name Papuadytes sp. MB688. Its description in RNAcentral is "partial 16S ribosomal RNA". It matches the Rfam family "Bacterial large subunit ribosomal RNA", at positions 1858 to 2741 of the family's 2925-position model. Lineage: Eukaryota; Metazoa; Arthropoda; Insecta; Coleoptera; Dytiscidae. The record is from RNAcentral.
CCUGCCCACUGAAAAUUUUAAAUGGCCGCAGUAAUUUGACUGUGCAAAGGUAGCAUAAUCAUUAGUUUUUUAAUUAAAAGCUUGUAUGAAAGGUUGGACGAGAUAAAAUCUGUCUUUAUUUAAAUUAUAUUAGAAUUUAAUUUUUGAGUUAAAAAGCUUAAAUUUAUAUAAAAGACGAGAAGACCCUAUAGAUCUUUAUAUUAUUAUAAUAUAAUUUUAAUUAAGAAUAUUUAAUUUAUUAUUUUUUAUAAUAUUUUAUUGGGGUAAUAAAAAGAUUUAAUUAAUUCUUUUUUUUAUUAUACAUUUAUUAAUGAAUUAUUGAUCCAAAAAUUUUGAUUAUAAGAUUAAGUUACCUUAGGGAUAACAGCGUAAUUUUUUUAAAGAGUUCAUAUCGAUAAAAAAGUUUGCGACCUCGAUGUUGGAUUAAAAAUUAUUUUAGGCGUAGAAGUUUAAAAAUUUGGUCUGUUCGACCAUUAAAUUUUUACAUGAUCUGAGUUCAGACCGGUGUAAGCCAGGUCGGUUUCUAUCUUUAUAUAUUUAUAAUAUUUUAGUACGAAAGGACCAAAUAUUAAAUAUAUUAAUAUUUUUAAUAUUGAAUAUUAUUAA